Molecule: ribosomal RNA, 529 nt
Filed under: uncultured bacterium
Lineage: Bacteria
Description: partial 16S ribosomal RNA
Rfam family: Bacterial small subunit ribosomal RNA
Source: RNAcentral
UGGGGAAUAUUGCACAAUGGGCGAAAGCCUGAUGCAGCAACGCCGCGUGAGUGAUGAAGGUCUUCGGAUUGUAAAGCUCUGUCUUUUGGGACGAUAAUGACGGUACCAAAGGAGGAAGCCACGGCUAACUACGUGCCAGCAGCCGCGGUAAUACGUAGGUGGCGAGCGUUGUCCGGAUUUACUGGGCGUAAAGGGUGCGUAGGCGGAUGUUUAAGUGAGAUGUGAAAUACCCGGGCUUAACUUGGGUGCUGCAUUUCAAACUGAAUAUCUAGAGUGCAGGAGAGGAGAAUGGAAUUCCUAGUGUAGCGGUGAAAUGCGUAGAGAUUAGGAAGAACACCAGUGGCGAAGGCGAUUCUCUGGACUGUAACUGACGCUGAGGCACGAAAGCGUGGGUAGCAAACAGGAUUAGAUACCCUGGUAGUCCACGCCGUAAACGAUGAGUACUAGGUGUAGGAGGUAUCGACCCCUUCUGUGCCGCAGUAAACACAUUAAGUACUCCGCCUGGGAAGUACGAUCGCAAGAUUAAAAC